Pantherophis guttatus is the source of this 2393-nucleotide non-coding RNA. The record is from RefSeq and is a predicted model, not a curated record. NCBI's taxonomy places the organism in Eukaryota, Metazoa, Chordata, Lepidosauria, Squamata, Colubridae.
AUUUACUCCUUUAAACCCACGCUUGUAAUACACUAAGAGAAAGGAGGACUUGCUGUUAUUCUGAGAUUAGAGAAUCAUGUGAAGCUUACUUGGGGUCCACUGACAAAAAGCUUGCAUUGUGUUGCAGUGUGCAUUUGCAAACUCUGCAACAUCUGGAGGAACUGGUGCCCUGUUGCCUGGCUGAAGGCAUUUUAUGAAGCUGGUCUUGGAUCAUAAGAAAGAAGUCUUGUUGGUUUGGGGCUGAUUAUUACCAGGUACAUUUGAAAAUGAUUCUAUCCACUGAAUCAUAAUCCAUGAUUUUUUAAGAUAAAAAAUACUAAGAGCCGUGGUGGCGCAGUGGUUGGAGUGCAGGCUACUUCUGCUGACUGCUGGCUGCCUGCAAUCUGUCAGAUCGAAUCUCACCAGGUUCAAAGUUGACUCAUCCUUCCAUCCUUCCGAGAAUGAAAAGUUUGGUGAUAUCGGGUGUGUCCUGUGAGAUUACCUCAAAGAAAAGGAUGUCUUUGAGAUUCAAACUGGCCUAGAAGACAAUUAUUGGUGCGGAAGUAUCUUGCCAAUGGGGCAAGGGUUGUCUAAUAAUGCACUUCUUCCAUCAAGCUGCUGGGAGGAAAGAAGUCAGAACUAAUGAAAGCUUGCUUUAAGCAAUUGUGAUCAUUCUUUGCAGACAAAGUUGAGCAGAUCAAUUUGUAUUGAUUUCAGUAUUGGAGCAAGUUACAGACAAUGAUAAUUGUCUGUCAAGUUUAUAUGAUUGCCUUUGGCCAUAUGGAAGUAAAUCUUGAGGAUGUGGGAAGAUUUGUGGAAAAACAAGGGUCAUUGCUUGUUUACUUAACCCUUAUCCUUCCUGGCUGAUUAAGUCAUCUUAGACUGGUUAAGGGAAGUGAUUAACACUUUCUUCAGGCCAGCACAGAUCCAUCCUUGAAUUUUCCAUUCUCAGAUAAAGUGGUUGAGAAAAUGAUAUCCUUAUAGUUCCAGCUGCAUCUGAGUGAAAACUGGUUUUCUGGGUCCAUUUCUACGGGGGUGAUAUUUCCAGUGUUGAAGAUAUAGUUUGUUUGAAAUACUUCACACUUUGUUUCAACAUUUCAUAUAACUAAGUUUGCUUUAAUUAAGGUGAGGGUUAUCACUGAGAUGACACAAAGCAAUGGAGACAAUAUAUUCCCUUGACAGAUUCCUCUUCUGAGGUUUACAUUUCCAUUUUAUUCACUACUUACUAUUAGCAUUUUCCAUUUUCCCCCCCACGCUUCUUUUACUAAAUUCUGGCUGUUUCAAUUCAUGGGAAAUAUAUUCAGAUAUUUUUGUACUGAGCUAUGUGGAAGAGAACCAGAUGCUCUUUUAUUAUCAAUUUAAACCAUUUGUAAGUUGUUUUUUCUUUGCUUGCAUUUUUUUUUGUUUCUUUCCCCAGAAUAGAAGCAAUGAAUUUUUGAACAUGUAACCUGAAAGUACAGUUGCUUAAUAUACAAGUGACCAACUUAAACACUGUUGGCAAUCAAGUAAUUGGUUUGUAGUUGCCUACAGCCACACCCUUGUUGCUGUUAUUUUUUGCUAAAAAUAUUUUACCUUUUAUUAUCCAUUCUUUUAGCUUUUCCAGUUUGUAGAAUUCUACUACUGUAAAUUGAAUAGUCAGUCUUUUAUAGAGAGCCAUCAGAUGCUUAAGUCAAAAUCCAACUGAACUUGCUAUUUUCUUAGUACACUCCACUUCUUAGCUUUUUUGGUUUGCUUUUUAAUCAUUUCUGAUAUUAUGAUCAUAUCAUUCAUUUUAAUUUGAGCCAAUGUUUUUCUCAAUCUCUUUUAUCUAUGUUGCAUCUUUAUUAUGUUCUUUGGGAUUCUCCCAGAGGUUGCUCCAAAAUUUAACGUUUCACCUUUAUCAGGGCAAGCAUCUAUGGUUGUAUAGUAUUUCCUAGAAAUGUUUUAUAAAAUGGAUGCUGGUUUGCUGAUAACUACUGAUGUCAAAAUUGUCAUUUUAUUUAAUAUCAUUUAUUUUUCUUUGAACAUAAAUCAUUGAUUUAAUUCUUCUGAGGUGUUCUUAAUUGUCUUAGUUGAUUUUAUUAUUUUUCAGUUUUCUGUCCUUCAGAUUUUUUUAGAUUGUUGAUAGCAUUUCUUAUUAUAUUGAUCAUUUUUUUCCAAUCAAACUUUCCAAUUUGGUUACUAAGCUUUUGUUUUCCGGCCUUCUGUCCCAAUUCUGGUGCUAUACUAUAAAUCAAUUGAUUCAUUUUAACCAAAACUAGAACUAAAAACUUUAUUUCAAUAUUUUCCAUAAAUUUGCAUCUUUCAAAACUUUUGAUUUUGUUUUUAACUGUCUUUUUCAAUGAUGGGAGCAGUAUAGUUUGAGUUUUUCAUAUGUUCAAUUAUUUUUUCAGUUGUAUUUGUUGUCAGAGAACUGAUGUUCAGCAUUUGUUUGC